UACGAAGGGUGCAAGCGUUACUCGGAAUUACUGGGCGUAAAGCGCACGUAGGCGGAUUGUUAAGUCAGGGGUGAAAUCCUGGAGCUCAACUCCAGAACUGCCUUUGAUACUGGCGAUCUCGAGUCCGGGAGAGGUGAGUGGAACUGCGAGUGUAGAGGUGAAAUUCGUAGAUAUUCGCAAGAACACCAGUGGCGAAGGCGGCUCACUGGCCCGGUACUGACGCUGAGGUGCGAAAGCGUGGGGAGCAAACAGG
This 253-nucleotide ribosomal RNA is filed under the name uncultured bacterium. RNAcentral describes it as "partial 16S ribosomal RNA". It matches the Rfam family "Bacterial small subunit ribosomal RNA", at positions 524 to 776 of the family's 1533-position model. The record is from RNAcentral.